UCUCGUAGCUUCUGCAGAGUUUUCUCCC
This 28-nucleotide non-coding RNA is filed under the name Bombyx mori (domestic silkworm). Lineage: Eukaryota; Metazoa; Arthropoda; Insecta; Lepidoptera; Bombycidae. The record is from RNAcentral.